Molecule: long non-coding RNA, 471 nt
Filed under: Junco hyemalis (dark-eyed junco)
Lineage: Eukaryota; Metazoa; Chordata; Aves; Passeriformes; Passerellidae
Description: lncRNA (ENSJHYG00000002678.1)
Source: RNAcentral
GGCAGUAAUGAGGCUACAUAAAUGCACAUAUAAUACUGUAAGAUGUUACAAAUGAUAUAAAAGAUAAAUCUAAUGAUUACCUAUUAUAAUGACAGUGCAAUCACUAGGUAAAUUUUACAGUUCUGAGAAGUCCAUGACUGCCAAAAAUGCCACUAUGCAGUGUAUUAUUUCUGAGCUUUUAUUUCUCCAUGACUGUUUUGUAGGAGAUAUAUAACUCACUUGGAAGGGAGCUGCUAAACAAAAUGGCUCACAAAUCUUCAUUUAGGGCAGCAAUACUUACAAGUACUGUGGGAGCUGGACUGGCAAACACACAGAGCUCAUUGCUGAACUACAGGAGUUGGGUAAGUUCUGUUACCUUCAUUGGUCUUGUGUGGCUUUCAAAAUAUGGACUGAGUUGAUGGAGCAAGCAUCUGUGUAGUUGAUGUUACUAGAGGAGUUUGUUUAUUAUACUUUGCACUGAGGUUGUUCCUA